This 21-nucleotide non-coding RNA is filed under the name Caenorhabditis elegans. The record is from RNAcentral. Lineage: Eukaryota; Metazoa; Nematoda; Chromadorea; Rhabditida; Rhabditidae.
UAAGAAAAAUUAAAAUUCGGA